Molecule: ribosomal RNA, 484 nt
Filed under: uncultured bacterium
Lineage: Bacteria
Description: partial 16S ribosomal RNA
Rfam family: Bacterial small subunit ribosomal RNA
Source: RNAcentral
AUUGAACGCUGGCGGCAGGCCUAACACAUGCAAGUCGAGCGGAUGAAGGGAGCUUGCUCCUGGAUUCAGCGGCGGACGGGUGAGUAAUGCCUAUGAAUCUGCCUGGUAGUGGGUGAUAACGUCCGGAAACGGGCGCUAAUACCGCAUACGUCCUGAGGGAGAAAGUGGGGGAUCUUCGGACCUCACGCUAUCAGAUGAGCCUAGGUCGGAUUAGCUAGUUGGUGGGGUAAAGGCCUACCAAGGCGACGAUCCGUAACUGGUCUGAGAGGAUGAUCAGUCACACUGGAACUGAGACACGGUCCAGAGUCCUACGGGAGGCAGCAGUGGGGAAUAUUGGACAAUGGGCGAAAGCCUGAUCCAGCCAUGCCGCGUGUGUGAAGAAGGUCUUCGGAUUGUAAAGCACUUUAAGUUGGGAGGAAGGGCAGUAAGUUAAUACCUUGCUGUUUUGACGUUACCAACAGAAUAAGCACCGGCUAACUUCGUG